GAAGUUGGUUAGACAAUCGCUGCGUUAACAUUAAGUUUAACGGGGAGGAAAGUCCGGGCUCCACAGGGCAGGGUGCCAGCUAACGGCUGGGAGGCGUGAGCCUACGACAAGUGCAGCAGAGAGAAGACCGCCGAUGACUCUUUCGAGAGAACAGGUAAGGCUGAAAGGGUGCGGUAAGAGCGCACCGGACCACUGGUAACAGUUGGUUGCAGGGUAAACUCCACCCGGAGCAAGAUCAAAUAGGCUCUCUUAUGGCGUGGCCCACGUUGAGAGCGGGUAGAUCGCUUGAGCCUGCGAGCAAUUUCAGGCCUAGAUGAAUGAUUGUCCACGACAAAACCCGGCUUACUGGCGUCUCCAGCU
RNAcentral lists this RNase P RNA (360 nucleotides) under Oleispira sp. Its description in RNAcentral is "RNase P RNA component class A". It matches the Rfam family "Bacterial RNase P class A". From Rfam's summary of the family: Ribonuclease P (RNase P) is a ubiquitous endoribonuclease, found in archaea, bacteria and eukarya as well as chloroplasts and mitochondria. Lineage: Bacteria; Pseudomonadati; Pseudomonadota; Gammaproteobacteria; Oceanospirillales; Oceanospirillaceae. The record is from RNAcentral.